GUCUCCCGAAAUCCAAGUGGUUUGCGCAUUGCGAAGCUGGGCUCGACAUGAGAUCCAAGAUGAUACAGCCGAUUUGCAUGGAGUCUCACAGCCCUUUAUAAGUAAAAUAUGCAAAAAAUUAGCAGGAGCCAUAGCCGGAAUAUCGCAUAGAUUUAUAAAAAUGCCUGCUUCAUUGGCAGAACAAGAGGAAGCAAUGCGAAAAUUCCAUAGAAUUGCAAAUUUUCCUUCAGUAAUUGGUGCAAUUGACUGUACUCACAUAAGGGUAAAAAAAAUAUGUGAAGAUGGUGGUCAAAUAUAUAUCAAUCGCAAAGGAUUUCCAUCUAUUAAUGUCCAGGUAGUCUGCGAUGCAAAUUUAAAAAUAAUAGAUAUUGUUGCUAGGUGGCACGGCAGUGUCCAUGACUCUCGAAUUUUUAGAGAAAGUCGACUAAAGCAGAGAUUUGAGGCUGGUGCCUUCUCAGGCAUUUUGCUUGGAGACAGUGGGUAUGCAUGUACACCGUAUUUGUUUACUCCCUUACUGAAUACCUCAACACCCCAAGAAGAACGGUACAAUAGUGCUCACAUUAACACCAGAAAUGCAGUGGAGAGAUGUUUUGGGUUGUGGAAGCAGAGGUUCCGUUGUUUAUUAAGAGGCCUUUACUGUGACAUUGGAACUGCAAGAAAAACUAUUGUAGCAUGUGCUGUAUUGCACAAUAUCGCAAUUGAUAUGAAGGAAGAUGUGUUUUCUAGUGGGCUCGAAGACGAAGUUAACAGGCAAUCUCACGCAGUUGUUUUGGCCACAGAAAACAAUGUUCGCGGAAAUAUUAGAAGAAGGCAAUUUAUUGAAAGACACUUUUAAUUAAAAUAAUAUAUUUUUGUAAUAAGCUUGAAAUUAUAUUUUUAUACCUGAAAAGAAAAUGAUAUUAGACAUAACUAAUAUGUGUAUUACUGUGACACUUAUAUAAUCAUAGCAUUGAAAACUUAUAUAAUAGUGGUAUAUUAUUAUUCAUAUGUUACAUUUACCAUUUAAUAUUACUCUGUACUAGAUUUCUUCGUAUUUUCUAAUAAUUCUAUUUCUAGCUCUAGUUUUUUU
Molecule: long non-coding RNA, 1069 nt
Organism: Manduca sexta (tobacco hornworm)
Lineage: Eukaryota; Metazoa; Arthropoda; Insecta; Lepidoptera; Sphingidae
Exons: 3
Source: RefSeq, a predicted model, not a curated record